RNAcentral lists this ribosomal RNA (504 nucleotides) under uncultured bacterium. RNAcentral describes it as "bacterial SSU rRNA". It matches the Rfam family "Bacterial small subunit ribosomal RNA", at positions 9 to 526 of the family's 1533-position model. The record is from RNAcentral.
GAGUUUGAUCCUGGCUCAGGACGAACGCUGGCGGCGCGCCUAACACAUGCAAGUCGAACGGAGCUGAGAGAAGCUUGCUUUUCUUAGCUUAGUGGCGAACGGGUGAGUAACGCGUGGGUAACCUGCCCUGUACAGGGGGAUAACAGCUGGAAACGGCUGCUAAUACCGCAUAAGCGCACGAGGAGACAUCUCCUUGUGUGAAAAACUCCGGUGGUACAGGAUGGGCCCGCGUCUGAUUAGCUGGUUGGCAGGGUAACGGCCUACCAAGGCGACGAUCCAUAGCCGGCCUGAGAGGGUGAACGGCCACAUUGGGACUGAGACACGGCCCAGACUCCUACGGGAGGCAGCAGUGGGGAAUAUUGCACAAUGGGGGAAACCCUGAUGCAGCGACGCCGCGUGAAGGAAGAAGUAUCUCGGUAUGUAAACUUCUAUCAGCAGGGAAGAUAAUGACGGUACCUGACUAAGAAGCCCCGGCUAACUACGUGCCAGCCGCCGCGGUAAUAC